UACACUCCUGCGGGAGGCAGCAGUGGGGAAUUUUGGACAAUGGGCGAAAGCCUGAUCCAGCAAUGCCGCGUGAGUGAAGAAGGCCUUCGGGUUGUAAAGCUCUUUUGUCAGGGAAGAAACGGUGAGAGCUAAUAUCUUUUGCUAAUGACGGUACCUGAAGAAUAAGCACCGGCUAACUACGUGCCAGCAGCCGCGGUAAUACGUAGGGUGCAAGCGUUAAUCGGAAUUACUGGGCGUAAAGCGUGCGCAGGCGGUUUUGUAAGUCUGAUGUGAAAUCCCCGGGCUCAACCUGGGAAUUGCAUUGGAGACUGCAAGGCUAGAAUCUGGCAGAGGGGGGUAGAAUUCCACGUGUAGCAGUGAAAUGCGUAGAUAUGUGGAGGAACACCGAUGGCGAAGGCAGCCCCCUGGGUCAAGAUUGACGCUCAUGCACGAAAGCGUGGGGAGCAAACAGGAUUAGAAACCCCUGUAGUCC
RNAcentral lists this ribosomal RNA (472 nucleotides) under uncultured organism. RNAcentral describes it as "partial 16S ribosomal RNA". It matches the Rfam family "Bacterial small subunit ribosomal RNA", at positions 332 to 796 of the family's 1533-position model. The record is from RNAcentral.